GACGAACGCUGGCGGCGUGCUUAACACAUGCAAGUCGAACGGAAAGGCCCUGCUUUUGUGGGGUGCUCGAGUGGCGAACGGGUGAGUAACACGUGAGUAACCUGCCCUUGACUUUGGGAUAACUUCAGGAAACUGGGGCUAAUACCGGAUAGGAGCUCCUGCUGCAUGGUGGGGGUUGGAAAGUUUCGGCGGUUGGGGAUGGACUCGCGGCUUAUCAGCUUGUUGGUGGGGUAGUGGCUUACCAAGGCUUUGACGGGUAGCCGGCCUGAGGGGGUGACCGGCCACAUUGGGACUGAGAUACGGCCCAGACUCCUACGGGAGGCAGCAGUGGGGAAUAUUGCACAAUGGGCGGAAGCCUGAUGCAGCAACGCCGCGUGCGGGAUGACGGCCUUCGGGUUGUAAACCGCUUUCGCCUGUGACGAAGCGUGAGUGACGGUAAUGGGUAAAGAAGCACCGGCUAACUACGUGCCAGCAGCCGCGGUGAUACGUAGGGUGCGAGCGUUGUCCGGAUUUAUUGGGCGUAAAGGGCUCGUAGGUGGUUGAUCGCGUCGGAAGUGUAAUCUUGGGGCUUAACCCUGAGCGUGCUUUCGAUACGGGUUGACUUGAGGAAGGUAGGGGAGAAUGGAAUUCCUGGUGGAGCGGUGGAAUGCGCAGAUAUCAGGAGGAACACCAGUGGCGAAGGCGGUUCUCUGGGCCUUUCCUGACGCUGAGGAGCGAAAGCGUGGGGAGCGAACAGGCUUAGAUACCCUGGUAGUCCACGCUGUAGACGGUGGGUACUAGGUGUGGGGUCCAUUCCACGGGUUCCGUGCCGUAGCUAACGCUUUAAGUACCCCGCCUGGGGAGUACGGCCGCGAGGCUAAAACUCAAAGGAAUUGACGGGGCCCCGCACAAGCGGCGGAGCAUGCGGAUUAAUUCGAUGCAACGCGUAGAACCUUACCUGGGUUUGACAUGGAUCGGGAGUGCUCAGAGAUGGGUGUGCCUCCUUUGGGGUCGGUUCACAGGUGGUGCAUGGCUGUCGUCAGCUCGUGUCGUGAGAUGUUGGGUUAAGUCCCGCAACGAGCGCAACCCUUGUUCACUGUUGCCAGCACGUUAUGGUGGGGACUCAGUGGAGACCGCCGGGGUCAACUCGGAGGAAGGUGGGGAUGGCGUCAAGUCAUCAUGCCCCUUAUGUCCAGGGCUUCACGCAUGCUACAAUGGCUGGUACAGAGAGUGGCGAGCCUGUGAGGGUGAGCGAAUCUCGGAAAGCCGGUCUCAGUUCGGAUUGGGGUCUGCAACUCGACCUCACGAAGUCGGAGUCGCUAGUAAUCGCAGAUCAGCAACGCUGCGGUGAAUACGUUCCCGGG
This 1343-nucleotide ribosomal RNA is filed under the name uncultured bacterium. RNAcentral describes it as "16S ribosomal RNA". It matches the Rfam family "Bacterial small subunit ribosomal RNA", at positions 28 to 1378 of the family's 1533-position model. The record is from RNAcentral.